AUUGCUCCCUUGGAAACCCGUCCAACCUGUGCUGUGAACAUGCCUGGGCCAGCCUCCCAGAGGAGGUGAGAAUGCAAAGCAGAAGGAGCCGUUCCCGCUGACACCAUCGGGACCAGCUAGUGCCCAGAUGAGCCAGCAGCUCGCUCCAGAUGCAGGGGUGAGGCCCAUUUGAGGCCAGCUGAGCCCAAUCCAGAUCCAAAGAACCAUUCAGACCAUCCACAGACUUGAGUCUCCAGUGCCAACAGGGAUCUCCAGGGCAGCAGCAGGAAGUCCGGUCUAGCUGGCUCUGACCUCAGUGGCCAGCUGAGGAAAAUGCCAAAAAAAGGUUGAACAUUUCCCAAAGGAACACUGAGGCACAGAGGGAAACCCCAGUCAUGGAGAAACCGGUACGGUGAGAAUAUGGUAUAAAAGAUAAAAAGUGUCCACGUCUAUGGAGCACUUACCAUGAAUGGAGCUUACAGGACUGGAAGUUGCUCUGGCUUAUUCAAGAAAAAUGACUUUAGCUUGGCAUGUGAGAAAGGUCAGGACAUUACACUGUUGGAAAUGUCUAUGUGCUUGAAAAGAACCGAAAGUCCUCUGAAUAUGUAGCUCCCCCAGCCUCUUCACAGUGGGGUGUUUCACCCAUUUCGUGGAGUCCAGAUUCUGGAGCUGGGAAGUUCAAGGCUGAGGAGCUGCAUCUGGUGAGGGCCUUCUUGCUGGUGGCCUUCUUCUGCAGUCCUGAGGUGCUGCAGGGGAUCUUGUGGCGGAGAAACCGUGGAAGGAUCUUGGAAGGCCAACUAAGAUCUUGCUUGGCCCGCAGGAUCUGGUGCUGUGGCCCGGCCCACCUCACAGCCUCACCCGGUUCUACUCUCUGGCUUGGAGAGACCCCACCACGAUGGCCUCCCUCCAGCCUCCGCAUAGACCCUCGGAUGUGCUAUUCCCUCUCUCUGGAAGGCUUUUGCUCCCUUACCCCAUCAGCUUCUCAUCAUCAUGUAUGUCUUGGCUCCUAGCCCCUUUUCCUCUGAGAAGCGGUCCCCAAAUCCCAGGCAGGGUCCUAUCACCUGGUAACACCCCUCUCAGGGACAGUGUAUUUGCUAUCUGCUCCAGGAGGGAGGAACCUCUUCUAAUGUGGGCACCAAGUGCCGUGCCUGGUGCAUAAUUGGCUUUCAGUAAACAUUUGUGGAGAGAGCAAAUGUGCUUGUGAAUCCAUCACAUCACAGAAGGUGGGGCCAGAGCCAGGGUGGAGGUGGAGUAGAGGAACUCUGGGGCUGGCUGCUGAGGAAGGUUCUCUCUGAUGGUGCAGCAAUAGCAGGUCAAGCCCAGGGUCAAGAUAAGGAGCCAAAUGUCCCAAAGGUGGUAGGUGGUCAGCGAUGGGGCCAGCUGGAUGUUGCCAGUGGGUAACACUCCUGCUCUGCCAGGUCUGAGGCUCAGAGUUCCCAAAGGAGCAAGCAAGUUCCUAGGAGAGGAAGAGGAGAACCAGACCAGGCAUCCGGUCAGGAACAAGGGACCCAACCAAAUGAGAUGGGAGACCUGGGGCUGGGGUGUGGGCGGUUGCUCUGGAUAAUGACAGAAUGAAUGUGCAGAGGCCUGGCCAUCAGCCAGGGUCCUGCACUGGAGAUGUCCCAUGGAGAGGGCAGGGCCGAGGCCCAGCAAGGCUAAUACAAUUCUCUCUCCAGUGUCUGGAGCCAGCUUAGACCACAGAAGGUAUAGACCAUGACACUGACCGAACUAAGUCCUACGGUGUCCGUUGGGCCAGGAAAGGUUGUUUAAGGGAGGAACAGGACAAUCUCUGCAAACAAAAAAGUUUCACGUUUUUGGCCUAAGGCCAGAGGGAAAAGCAAAGUUCACCAACAACAGCCCCAUGAUCCCUCCCCACUUCCCACCCGAAGUGAGAGGCAGGGUGAAGCCCAGCAAAGCUUUCUGCACUGUGUGACUGCAGGGGGCAAAGGAUAUUCAUGGAGAAAAGAAAGAAAAACCCCAACAGGGAUUUUCUUCAGUGCAUGGAACUGGUUUUGUCUUAUUUUGUUUUUUAGAGUUUCCUGCAACUUUCUAUUUUUUUUCUAUACAUGAAUGCCAAUUAUUUUUACACUUUUACCAAAGACAAAACCCUUUUCAAGGAUUCUGUACGCAUCCCCUGAGAGUACUGGUUCUAAACCUUGACUACAUGUUAAAAUCACCUAGGGAACUUUAAAUCUGCCGAUGCCUGGGUCCCACCAUGAGGUGAUUCAGAUUUUAGUGCUUGGCAGUGUGGCCUGCCCAGGUGAUUAUAAUGUGCAGAUUGAGAGCCACCGCCCUAAAAUGAGUAUGCAUUAGAGAGGUCGAAUAAAAGACAUGCUCUUACCAAACAUCCAUAACCAGGAAGGCCAUGUUCAGUUGCAUGAGCUGCAUACUGCAUACCUCCAGGGGACACCAUUUGCAUAGCCUAUAACAUAAAAGUGCCUCCCUGGAGUUAUGCAAUGUGGCAGCCUUGUAAGUAUGGAUAUAUAAAUUACAUAUUCGUAAAUACAUAAUUUAAACAUUGAUUGCAUCUGUUCACUAUAAUUCUCAGUGGGAGAGAUGGAAAUGAUGUUCACUAGGAUAUACAGAGUAUUUUAGAAGACUUAGUUUAUAUCAUCUGGGAUUUUAAAAUCUGGUGAAUCAUUCUCAAAGAAGAUGAUUAUAAAUUUAAAAAAAUAAAUAAAUAAUAAAAUCUGAUGAAGGCUAAGAUAACAAUAAAAACACUGAAAGCCAAGGUGACCAUGUCAGUCUAGAACCAUUGGUUGCACUGGACAGAGAAGACUGAGAGAGAGGAUGCGUCUGAGAGGGCUGGGAUGUGUGCAGAAUCACAAGUUUGGAUGGGAAGUCUCCAGCAGGCAGUCCGUGGAGGUGUGGCUUGUGGGAGAAUUGUUGGAGCAAUGGGAGGGUCAUGUGGAGUAUUUUCCCUCUGCCAUGAAGCCUUCCUGUUUCUGCCACUGCUGUCAUUCAGAGAUUGAAUCGAAUUCCCUGCUUUUGGACCUGAGGUGACCCUUGGCUUCUUUUGAUGAGUAGAAUGCAGUGCAAGUGAUGCUAUGUAAAUAUCACGGUUUCAGUCAUUUCAACUUCUGUCUUUACUUCUUUAAUGGCUCCUUCUUGGACCCUCACUGCCAUUCUGUGAGGAAGCCCAAGCAGCCAAGUGGAGAGGCCCACACAGAGAGGAACCAAGGCUGCCAAUCAACAGCUCCACAGAUCUCCAGCCAGUAGCCUGGUGGAGCCACGUGAGUGAGGCCAUUCUGUAACCUUCUAGCCAUCCCAGGGUCCCAGCUAACACUAGGCGAAGCAAAGGAACCACCUGGUCAACCCACAGAAUGGAGAGAAAUGAUACAUUUUUGUUGUUUUGAGUCAUCAAGUUUCAGGGUAUUUUGUGACUCAGAAAUAGGUGGCUGAAGCAGGGCCACUUCUGCUCUGCAGGUGGGCACAGGCCAGUCUGCUGGAAGGGUAUGUGGGUUGAACUGGCUCUGAGGCCUUUUGAGGUUAGACGUGCUGGAAGAUCCUAAUAGGGAAAGGUUUCUUUACAAAAAUUAUACUUAUCGAAGUUAUAUAUAUACACACACAGACACGUGUGUGUGUGUGUGUGUGUGUGUGUUAUAUAGUGGCAACAACUCAGUUACAUCAGAAAGGCUUACAAUGAAAAGCAAUCGUGUCUCUCCUGCUGUACUUGCCCCAGUUCACUCCCAGUCCUACUCCCCCAAGACAACAUCUUUUGCCAGUUGCUGUUUAUGGAUUUUCUCCAUACUCCAAAUCACAUACUUAUACCUCCAUCCCUCAGUUACCAUCUUUAGACAACAGCUAUUCACUCCCCAAUAUCUAAGAUGAGCAUUUAGCUCACUACUCCCAAUAUCUGAACUUUCAUGACUAUUUUUGACUCCUGCAUGAGCAUUUCCUCUUCUGACAGCAGUUGCUGAUUCCCAGCUCUGUAAGAUGAGGACAUCAGCGCCCCUCCCCUUCUUUCUGCUUCCCUUCAAUCACCCAUGUUUUGUGCCUCUGCUUCUACUACUUCAUAGCACUGCGGUGUUUAAUCUCAGGUGCCUGGGCUUCCUGGGAUAGCAGCCAUGAGUUCCUUAAAAUUAAGUGUAAAAUUGUGUGUGUGUAUUUAUGAUCCAUUUCCUGGGGAGAGUCCAGAGCUUUCAUCAGAUACUCCCAGAGGGGUCAAGCUCGGGUGCUGUAUGGGACUCCGUACUGAGGUCUUCCGUCCACCACCAGAGCCACCCUUAUCCUUCUUCAGACUUCUGGCUGGGUGUGGCCAAUGGGGGGCCCGGGCAGGAGUAGAGGGAAGGGGACGAGGAGAGUGAGGAAAGGCAUUUGUUUACUCCUGUGACUCCGUCUCUGCUGGGUCAUCUCGGGCUGGCUGAGUCUCAGCUGAAGGACCUUACUCUGCCAAUGGUUACCUUUUCAACACGGCUAUCUCCUUUGGUAAAGGCUUAAUUGUUCCUAGCCCCAGGUCACUGCAUCAUUCUUGGUGGUCUUACUACACCCUGCCCAUACCUUUGUAAACAGUCCUUUUAAUAAGUCAUCUGGAAUUCUCUUAAUUUGAUUGUGACAUUUGUUUCCUGUUGGGACUCUGUAAUGACCAUGUUCCUCAGACACAAACUCUGAGACAGAGAUUAUGUGCAGCAAGUUUUCGGACAGUGCUCUUGGGCAGAGGGAGGAGUUGAACUGCGAUGUUGUCACCAUGAGGGCUGGAGCUGGCCCUGUGGGAGAUCUGAAGCUGGGAUAGUCUUUGGAGUUAUUCCAGUCCAGGCAAGGGGGCCCAAAUGACCAGACACUGGAUACCAGGAGGGGACAUAAGCUUGGUCAAAGUGGGUCUCUUCAGGUGAAGGCAGUUCUCAGGAAGGGCCCCCUGGCAGCAGUGACAGCCUGGCCUCUAGGGCAAGGAGAGCCUGGGUCUCAAAGCGGGAGGGAUUAGGGGUUAUGGGGAGGCCCCUGGAAUGCACUGCAGACCCAACCUUGGUCUGAUUGCUAGGCCGGACCUUUUGUUCCCUGCAUCCUGACACCUAGCACAGUGUCCCACACAGAGUAGGAGCUCAGCCAAUAUUUGUUGAAUGAAUGAAUGGAGUAACAACAAACUUCUUUAAUUGAUUAAAAUUCAUAAAACUCAGAGCGCUUAUGUA
This is a long non-coding RNA of Pongo pygmaeus (Bornean orangutan), 5105 nucleotides long. RefSeq lists it as uncharacterized. The record is from RefSeq and is a predicted model, not a curated record. Lineage: Eukaryota; Metazoa; Chordata; Mammalia; Primates; Hominidae. The transcript is spliced from 7 exons.